Molecule: long non-coding RNA, 232 nt
Filed under: Capsicum annuum
Lineage: Eukaryota; Viridiplantae; Streptophyta; Magnoliopsida; Solanales; Solanaceae
Description: long non-coding RNA (CANN_LNC016084)
Source: RNAcentral
AACAAUACCCCACAAAUCCAUCUAACUCAUUUGGCAAAGAUAUCAUUGGUGCUGAAGUCAAUCAAUCUUUCAACUCUUGAAAGUUCUUUUAACAUUUAUCUGAACAUAUAAACUUUCCUUUUUUUGUGUCAACUUAGCUAAUAGUGCAGCUAUUAAGGAAUAAUCCUCAAUAAAUCUCCUAUAGUAACUAGGUAAUCCCAAAAAGCUCCUAAUAUCAUAUAGAGUAGUGGAC